RNAcentral lists this ribosomal RNA (465 nucleotides) under uncultured Klebsiella sp. RNAcentral describes it as "bacterial SSU rRNA". It matches the Rfam family "Bacterial small subunit ribosomal RNA", at positions 338 to 795 of the family's 1533-position model. The record is from RNAcentral. Lineage: Bacteria; Pseudomonadati; Pseudomonadota; Gammaproteobacteria; Enterobacterales; Enterobacteriaceae.
CCUACGGGGGGCAGCAGUGGGGAAUAUUGCACAAUGGGCGCAAGCCUGAUGCAGCCAUGCCGCGUGUGUGAAGAAGGCCUUCGGGUUGUAAAGCACUUUCAGCGGGGAGGAAGGCGUUAAGGUUAAUAACCUUGUCGAUUGACGUUACCCGCAGAAGAAGCACCGGCUAACUCCGUGCCAGCAGCCGCGGUAAUACGGAGGGUGCAAGCGUUAAUCGGAAUUACUGGGCGUAAAGCGCACGCAGGCGGUCUGUCAAGUCGGAUGUGAAAUCCCCGGGCUCAACCUAGGAACUGCAUUCGAAACUGGCAGGCUAGAGUCUUGUAGAGGGGGGUAGAAUUCCAGGUGUAGCGGUGAAAUGCGUAGAGAUCUGGAGGAAUACCGGUGGCGAAGGCGGCCCCCUGGACAAAGACUGACGCUCAGGUGCGAAAGCGUGGGGAGCAAACAGGAUUAGAUACCCGAGUAGUC